CCUACGGGUGGCAGCAGUGAGGAAUAUUGGUCAAUGGGCGCGAGCCUGAACCAGCCAAGUCGCGUGAAGGAUGACUGCCCUCCGGGUUGUAAACUUCUUUUAUCAAGGAAUAAAGUGAGGCACGUGUACCUUUUUGUAUGUACUUUAUAAAUAAGGAUCGGCUAACUCCAUGCCAGCCGCCGCGGUAAUCCGGAGGCUCCGAGCGUUAUCCGGGUUUCUUGGGUUUGAAGGGAGGGUAGAGAGGUUGGCCAGUCAGUGGGGAAAGUUUGCGGCUCAACCGUAAAAAUGCAAUUGAUACUGGCAGUGUUGAGUAGAGUUGAGGUAGGUGGAAUUCGUGGUGUAGCGGUUAAAUGCGUAGAUAUCACGAAGAACUCCGAUUGCGAAGGCAGCCUACUAAACUGCAACUGACAUUGAGGCUCGAAAGUGUGGGUAUCAAACAGGAUUAGAUACCCUAGUAGUC
This 460-nucleotide ribosomal RNA is filed under the name uncultured bacterium. Its description in RNAcentral is "partial 16S ribosomal RNA". It matches the Rfam family "Bacterial small subunit ribosomal RNA", at positions 338 to 795 of the family's 1533-position model. The record is from RNAcentral.